RNAcentral lists this long non-coding RNA (261 nucleotides) under Lathyrus oleraceus (garden pea). RNAcentral's name for it is "Pisum sativum (pea) long non-coding RNA (PSAT_LNC014716)". The record is from RNAcentral. Lineage: Eukaryota; Viridiplantae; Streptophyta; Magnoliopsida; Fabales; Fabaceae.
GAAAAAUGAAGCAAGGUAGAUAAAGGACGAAGAAGAAUUAAAGUAACUGGCAUGAGGGUAUUCCUUGCGCCAGAUAUAACUUAGACAUAAGCUAUCAAGCUAAUGACAUAAAACAAGCGCUUGAUGGAAGGAAACCCAUCAGUGAGAAUUUAUUUUUACGUUAUAGUGAAUUUUAAAAUUUUAACAAUGUUAUUUCUUGUGUUAUGACAUGGAAGGGAAAAUAUGGAAAGAAGAAAAAAAAUAAAGAAGGAAAGAGAAAAA